UCAAGUUAUUAAGGGUGCAGGGCGGAUGCCUUGGCACUAGGAGCCGAUGAAGGACGUGAUAAGCUGCGAUAAGCUUCGGGGAGUUGCACGUAAACUUUGAUCCGAAGAUUUCCGAAUGAGGAAACUCACUUAGAGUAAUGUCUAAGUAUCAUUAAGUGAAUACAUAGCUUAAUGAGGGGAACUCAGGGAACUGAAACAUCUAAGUACCUGAAGGAAGAGAAAGAAAUUCGAUUCCGUAAGUAGCGGCGAGCGAACGCGGAUUAGCCCAAACCAAUAAAGUUUUCUUUAUUGGGGUUGCGGACAUAUCAUAACGAAGAGGUAUCGUAAUUGAAGAGGUUUGGAAAGACCCACCACAGAAGGUAAUAGUCCUGUAUGUUAAACGAGAAGACUUCAGAUAUGAUCCAGAGUACCACGGGACACGUGAAACCCUGUGGGAAGCAGGAGGGACCACCCUCCAAGGCUAAAUACUACCUAGUGACCGAUAGCGUAUAGUACCGUGAGGGAAAGGUGAAAAGAACCCCGGGAGGGGAGUGAAAUAGAACCUGAAACCCUGCACUUACAAGCUGUGGAAGCACAUUUCUUGUGUGACCGCGUACUUUUUGUAGAACGGGCCAACGAGUUACGUUAAGUAGCAGGGUUAAGCACUUAAGGUGUGGAGCCGUAGCGAAAGCGAGUUUUAACUGAGCGUUCAGUUACUUGACGUAGACCCGAAACCGGGCGACCUACCCAUGAGCAGGAUGAAGCGAAAGUAAAAUUUCGUGGAGGUCCGAACCCACGAGCGUUGAAAAGCUCGGGGAUGACUUGUGGGUAGCGGUGAAAUUCCAAUCGAGCCCGGAGAUAGCUGGUUCUCCCCGAAAUAGCUUUAGGGCUAGCCUCAAGGUGAGAGAUACGGAGGUAGAGCACUGAAUGUCCUAGGGGGUAUUGCACCUACCGAAGACUAUCAAACUCCGAAUGCCGUCAUCUUAUACUUGGGAGUCAGACUGUGGGUGAUAAGAUUCAUAGUCGAAAGGGCAACAGCCCAGAUCGUCAGCUAAGGUCCCUAAAUGUAAGUUAAGUGGUAAAGGAUGUGGGAUUGCACAGACAACCAGGAUGUUGGCUUAGAAGCAGCCACUCAUUCAAAGAGUGCGUAAUAGCUCACUGGUCGAGUGAUCCUGCGCCGAAGAUUUCCGGGGCUAAAACUUACUACCGAAGCUACGGCAUCAGUAAUGAUGGGUAGGGGAGCUUCCCAUACGGGUUGAAGCAUGACCGUAAGGACAUGUGGACAGUAUGGGAGUGAGAAUGUUGGCAUGAGUAGCGAGAUGUGGGUGAGAAUCCCACAGGCCGUAAACCCAAGGUUUCCAGGGGAAGGUUCGUCCGCCCUGGGUUAGUCGGGACCUAAGCUGAGGCCGAAAGGCGUAGGUGAUGGACAACAGGUUGAUAUUCCUGUACUACCGAUAACCGUUUGAGAGAAGGGAUGACACAGUAGGAUAAGCUAAGCACACUGUUGGUUAUGUGUGCCCAAGCAUUGAGGCAGUCAAAGUAGGCAAAUCCGCUUUGAUAAUGCUGGGAUGUGAUGGGGAGCGAAAUUUAGUAGCGAAGUAGCUGAUUUCACACUGUCAAGAAAAGUCUCUAUCGAGGUUAAAGGUCCCCGUACCGCAAACCGACACAGGUGGGUGAGGAGAGUAUCCUAAGGCCAGCGAGAGAACUGUUGUUAAGGAACUCGGCAAAAUGACCCCGUAACUUAGGGAUAAGGGGUGCCACCAUCAGGUGGCCGCAGAGAAUAGGCCCAAGCGACUGUUUACCAAAAACAUAGGUUUCUGCUAAGUCGCAAGACGAUGUAUAGGAGCUGACGCCUGCCCGGUGCUGGAAGGUUAAGGGGAUCUGUUAGAGCAAUCGAAGCAGUGAACUUAAGCCCCAGUAAACGGCGGCCGUAACUAUAACGGUCCUAAGGUAGCGAAAUUCCUUGUCGGGUAAGUUCCGACCCGCACGAAAGGCGUAACGAUUUGGGCACUGUCUCAACAACAGACUCGGUGAAAUUGUAAUUCCGGUGAAGAUGCCGGAUACCUGCGACAGGACGGAAAGACCCCAUGGAGCUUUACUGUAGCUUGACAUUGGGUCUUGGUACUACAUGUACAGGAUAGGUGGGAGGCUUUGAAACCAGGACGCCAGUUUUGGCGGAGCCAUCCUUGGGAUACCACCCUUGUAGUACUGGGACUCUAACCAUAGGCCAUGAAUCUGGUCUUGGGACACUGUCAGGUGGGCAGUUUGACUGGGGCGGUCGCCUCCCAAAAGGUAACGGAGGCGCUCAAAGGUUCUCUCAGUACGGUCGGAAAUCGCACGUAGAGUGUAAAGGCAAAAGAGAGCUUGAUUGCAAGACAUACAGGUCGAGCAAGGAUGAAAAUCGGACUUAGUGAUCCGGUGGUUCUGCGUGGAAGGGCCAUCGCUCAACGGAUAAAAGCUACCCUGGGGAUAACAGGCUUAUCUCCCCCAAGAGUCCACAUCGACGGGGAGGUUUGGCACCUCGAUGUCGGCUCAUCACAUCCUGGGGCUGUAGUAGGUCCCAAGGGUUGGGCUGUUCGCCCAUUAAAGUGGUACGCGAGCUGGGUUCAGAACGUCGUGAGACAGUUCGGUCCCUAUCCGUCGCAGGCGUAGGAAAUUUGAGAAGACCUGUCCUUAGUACGAGAGGACCGGGAUGGACGUACCUCUGGUGUACCAGUUGUUCUGCCAAGGGCAUGGCUGGGUAGCUAUGUACGGAAUGGAUAAGCGCUGAAAGCAUCUAAGCGCGAAGCCAACUUCAAGAUAAGAUUUCCCACCGUAAGGGUAAGACCCCAGAAAGACUAUCUGGUUGAUAGGUCGAAGGUGUAAGUGCAGCAAUGUAUUUAGCUUAUCGAUACUAAUAGGUCGAGGACUUGACCAA
Molecule: ribosomal RNA, 2896 nt
Filed under: Clostridioides difficile
Lineage: Bacteria; Bacillati; Bacillota; Clostridia; Peptostreptococcales; Peptostreptococcaceae
Description: 23S ribosomal RNA
Rfam family: Bacterial large subunit ribosomal RNA
Source: RNAcentral